RNAcentral lists this ribosomal RNA (492 nucleotides) under uncultured bacterium. RNAcentral's name for it is "partial 16S ribosomal RNA". It matches the Rfam family "Bacterial small subunit ribosomal RNA", at positions 29 to 507 of the family's 1533-position model. The record is from RNAcentral.
AGUGAACGCUGGCGGUAGGCCUAACACAUGCAAGUCGAACGGCAGCACAGUAAGAGCUUGCUCUUACGGGUGGCGAGUGGCGGACGGGUGAGGAAUACAUCGGAAUCUACUUUUUCGUGGGGGAUAACGUAGGGAAACUUACGCUAAUACCGCAUACGACCUACGGGUGAAAGCAGGGGAUCUUCGGACCUUGCGCGAUUGAAUGAGCCGAUGUCGGAUUAGCUAGUUGGCGGGGUAAAGGCCCACCAAGGCGACGAUCCGUAGCUGGUCUGAGAGGAUGGUCAGCCACACUGGAACUGAGACACGGUCCAGACUCCUACGGGAGGCAGCAGUGGGGAAUAUUGGACAAUGGGCGCAAGCCUGAUCCAGCCAUACCGCGUGGGUGAAGAAGGCCUUCGGGUUGUAAAGCCCUUUUGUUGGGAAAGAAAAGCAGCAGGUUAAUACCCCGCUGUUCCGACGGUACCCAAAGAAUAAGCACCGGCUAACCUCGUG